RNAcentral lists this ribosomal RNA (499 nucleotides) under uncultured Actinomycetes bacterium. RNAcentral's name for it is "bacterial SSU rRNA". It matches the Rfam family "Bacterial small subunit ribosomal RNA", at positions 9 to 524 of the family's 1533-position model. Lineage: Bacteria; Bacillati; Actinomycetota; Actinomycetes. The record is from RNAcentral.
GAGUUUGAUCGUGGCUCAGGACGAACGCUGGCGGCGUGCUUAACACAUGCAAGUCGAACGAUGAACUGAGAGCUUGCUCUUGGGGAUUAGUGGCGAACGGGUGAGUAACACGUGAGUAACCUGCCCUGGACUCUGGGAUAACCCCGAGAAAUCGGAGCUAAUACCGGAUAGGACCUUGCACCGCAUGGUGUGGGGUGGAAAGUUUUUUCGGUCUGGGAUGGACUCGCGGCCUAUCAGCUUGUUGGUGAGGUAAUGGCUCACCAAGGCGUCGACGGGUAGCCGGCCUGAGAGGGUGACCGGCCACACUGGGACUGAGACACGGCCCAGACUCCUACGGGAGGCAGCAGUGGGGAAUAUUGGACAAUGGGCGCAAGCCUGAUCCAGCCAUGCCGCGUGGAUGAUGAAGGCCCUAGGGUUGUAAAGUCCUUUUAACGGGGAAGAUAAUGACGGUACCCGUAGAAUAAGCCCCGGCUAACUUCGUGCCAGCCGCCGCAGUAAC